UGGGGAAUAUUGCACAAUGGGGGAGCCCUGAUGCAGCGACGCCGCGUGGGUGAAGGAGUAUUUCGGUAUGUAAAGCCCUAUCAGCAGGGAAGAUAAUGACGGUACCUGACUAAGAAGCCCCGGCUAACUACGUGCCAGCAGCCGCGGUAAUACGUAGGGGGCAAGCGUUAUCCGGACUUACUGGGUGUAAAGGGAGCGUAGACGGAUCGGCAAGUCUGAUGUGAAAGGCCGGGGCUCAACCCCGGGACUGCAUUGGAAACUGUUGAUCUUGAGUGCCGGAGGGGUAAGUGGAAUUCCUAGUGUAGCGGUGAAAUGCGUAGAUAUUAGGAGGAACACCAGUGGCGAAGGCGGCUUACUGGACGGUAACUGACGUUGAGGCUCGAAAGCGUGGGGAGCAAACAGGAUUAGAUACC
RNAcentral lists this ribosomal RNA (413 nucleotides) under uncultured bacterium. RNAcentral's name for it is "bacterial SSU rRNA". It matches the Rfam family "Bacterial small subunit ribosomal RNA", at positions 355 to 786 of the family's 1533-position model. The record is from RNAcentral.